Molecule: unclassified non-coding RNA, 241 nt
Filed under: Hevea brasiliensis (rubber tree)
Lineage: Eukaryota; Viridiplantae; Streptophyta; Magnoliopsida; Malpighiales; Euphorbiaceae
Source: RNAcentral
AGUGUUGGGAUUGAAUUGCUCUGCACCAAAGGCAAGAUUGCAAGGUCGGAUUCCACCAGCUCCAAUUGCUAUCAGUCCAAAUCCACACAGAAGAAAGGCAAAUUGCCAAAUUGUUGGACCUACACAUUGGCUGUUAUCUUUUCCUACACACUUUGGAGGAUGCAGGUUGGUUAUUGCUGCUGUCAAAGCUAGUGCUGACAUUCCCAGAAAUGAGGUAACAGAAGCAAAACCCAGAGUCUUG